Long non-coding RNA from Triticum dicoccoides, 1755 nucleotides. RefSeq lists it as uncharacterized. The transcript has 2 exons. The record is from RefSeq and is a predicted model, not a curated record. NCBI's taxonomy places the organism in Eukaryota, Viridiplantae, Streptophyta, Magnoliopsida, Poales, Poaceae.
ACUCCCUAUUCCAUGGCACAAGCCCAGAACUCUCUCUACCUCCUUGGGCCGCCCCUCCUCUUCGUCCCCGCCGCCGGCGCGAGGACUCGCACUCUUCCCACUCUUCUCAGCCCCUCCUCAUUGAAUCAGUCGCCGCAGUGCCCGAGGAUCCGCUCGAGCCCGGCAUGGUUGCUGGGCGCGGGACGCAGGCCAACGCGGAGGCGCGGGACUCGUCUCCAUCCGAUCGGCGGGCAUGGAAAUCAUGCGUCGCAACGUCCGCGCCCGGUGCCUUCCUCUCCAUCUCGCUCGUCAGCGGCUCCCACCACCCUGUGCAUGCGACUACGCUGCGCCCUGCCCAGAUACGGCAGCAGUGUUGCGGUGGCUUGUCCCCUCCAAGUGCAAGCCGGCGCCAUUAGACGAUCUAUUCCCCACUUCAGCUUUCAUAUCUGCUUAUUUCUGAUUUGAGUUACUCCCCAUUACCCACUUCUGCUAAUCCCUAAUUGCCAUGCAUUCCUGUAUAGUACAUAUGUAGCUUAGUAGUCUAGGUUUAAGCAUGAGAGUCAUUUUAGAAUCAGGGAGAAAAAUUAGAAGUUGGGGUGAUCCUAUUUUGGUCUGCCUAAUCUUGGAGUAAGCUGUUCGAUUAGACGUUCUUAACUUAGUUGCGGCAACUGUUAUGGGUGGGGAUUCCAGUUAGUUAAUAUUCUUGAGGCAACCAUGCUGUGAUAAAGCUGAUUGAUUGGUGGAUUUGAAUUCUGGGUGGCUAGGGGCGAUAGGGACCAAGACAGAUGAGGUUGAUUUGGCUUGAUCCUGCCAAGAAAUUUACUUCUAUUUUGAAAAAUGAACACAUGUUCUUAGAUGUGCAAGGUUAAGUUUCCAAAUGCGAGGUUUAUAGAAAAUCAAAGAGGAACAAGAGAAGCAUAGUAUGAUAAUACAGUAGGAUAAGCAUGUAUGACUGUAUGAUAAUACAGUUUGAAGAAUGAUGAUGGUAUGGUUCUCAUAUAGAGGACGGUGGUUGGCUCACAGAGUUUAUCACCUCAAAAACUUCCUUUCUUGGAAUAACUUGCCUUAUUAGAAGUCCAUAAACAUCUCUGGCAUCUUCAGUACUACUUACGGCAGCUGCACAAUUGUUAUUCAUGAUAUAGCACAACAUUUUAGAUAUAUUUCUUGUUGUCCCGGACCCCCUGUUAAAACAGAAGUGCUUUUGCAGGCUUACAAGAAAUAUAUUUUGAAGACCAUCUAACUAUCUAAGAGUAAUGGAAUUCGUUCCAUCCUAAAUUUUUGGGACUCUGGAAUAAACACAAAGAUGGGAAUGGGGAUGCAUACCUGCCUGCCAUAUACAUUGACAGGUUUUCAAUACUCACCCCGAAGCUUUUCAGCGUUGUACAGAAGAAGUAAUUGACAAGUUUACUUCAUGAUAGUCUUGGAUUUGGUUUGGCUGGCCAAAAUGAUCAGGCAAAGGCAGGUGCAAUGAGGAGUUCGUCGGCGCCUACGUCGUCAGGGUUGCGGAAGGCGGCGAUGGCCAAAACUGGCUGGGCAGCGACGGUGCAACAGUGGCUUGCGCACAAGAGGAUAGUCUGCACGUAAGUCCGGGUGGGCAAGGGUAGGAAGAUCCAGCUGAUUCCCGCAAGUUUAGCCAUUUGUUAUUAGGCGGACUUGUUCAAUUGCCGUUAAUUGUGCCUAAUUUUCUGUAGUUCAGCCAUUUGUUGUUAGGACGCUAACAUAAUUGGUGGAACCGUUCCGAUCUUGUGCGAGCGUGGGUCCGGCAGAGUUUUCGUC